This 794-nucleotide long non-coding RNA is filed under the name Microcebus murinus (gray mouse lemur). Its description in RNAcentral is "lncRNA (ENSMICG00000048796.1)". Lineage: Eukaryota; Metazoa; Chordata; Mammalia; Primates; Cheirogaleidae. The record is from RNAcentral.
ACGCACUUUUAACCACUUCUCUCAUCAGCCUUCCAAAUGAUGCUUUUUCAUGGUCUUAUUUUUUUUCUUUCUUUCUUUUUUUUUUUUUUUUGAGGAAAUUGCUCCUAAUUUCUUAGAGCCUAAUAUGGGAGUGGUGAGGAUGGAGGAUCAUGGAAACUUGCCUGUAACAGGGAUUAUUCUUCUAUAAAAACCUCAACCUUGGAAUAGGAUUAUUCUUCUUUUGCUCUUUACCUCAGAGUAGGUUUUCUGUCAGCUUGUGGCACCUUUCCCUACAAUUGAAUAAUCUUUUAGAAUAACACUUUACUCAUUGAUUUAUAUUAAGAGAUUUAUUCUCAGUUUCCAGGAAGUGUAGUAUCCUACACUAUAUCUCCUAAAGGAUCAAAGUAUCUUAACCCAAAGAGGAUUUCUUGGUAACCCAUUUUCAUUCAAUAAAUGUUUAUUUGGUGUAUACUAUGUGCUUGCUAAUGUAGCAGACACUUAGCAUCAGGAAACAAAGCACAUACACUGAAAACUACAAUCUGUGCUUUUAUUCUAGUUCCCUGUGGAAGAUUUCUCCGUAUGAAACAGAAAAAGUUUGCUGAUUCAUGAUGCAAAAUAUGUACCUUGGGCUCAACAAAACAGAUGCUUUGGAUUUCACACUGUGGUAUAUUCCAAAGGCUAAUAGACAACAAAAACAAUGGGGAUUCACUUUCUUUUUGGAUAUCCUCCCUACUUUCUCUGUUAAUCUACAAAUCUUGUAUUUCUGCCUCAGUGAUUUUGUCUCCCAGUUUUACCUUCUGACUCAAAUGUCUUGA